RNAcentral lists this ribosomal RNA (467 nucleotides) under uncultured bacterium. RNAcentral describes it as "partial 16S ribosomal RNA". It matches the Rfam family "Bacterial small subunit ribosomal RNA", at positions 28 to 506 of the family's 1533-position model. The record is from RNAcentral.
GACGAACGCUGGCGGCGUGCUUAACACAUGCAAGUCGAACGGAAAGGCCCUGCUUUUGUGGGGUGCUCGAGUGGCGAACGGGUGAGUAACACGUGAGUAACCUGCCCUUGACUUUGGGAUAACUUCAGGAAACUGGGGCUAAUACCGGAUAGGAGCUCCUGCUGCAUGGUGGGGGUUGGAAAGUUUCGGCGGUUGGGGAUGGACUCGCGGCUUAUCAGCUUGUUGGUGGGGUAGUGGCUUACCAAGGCUUUGACGGGUAGCCGGCCUGAGAGGGUGACCGGCCACAUUGGGACUGCGAUACGGCCCAGACUCCUACGGGAGGCAACAGUGGGGAAUAUUGCACAAUGGGCGGAAGCCUGAUGCAGCAACGCCGCGUGCGGGAUGACGGCCUUCGGGUUGUAAACCGCUUUCGCCUGUGACGAAGCGUGAGUGACGGUAAUGGGUAAAGAAGCACCGGCUAACUACGU